GGCUAUAAAAACCCCGUUCAGAAAGCUGGGUCUAACUUGCCAUCGUGGUGGCUGGAUCAAUGGUAAUGAAAGAUAGAUACGGUCACAGAAGCAAAAUCGUGCUCUUUCUAAGAAAAAACUCUGCCUCCGGUGACAGAAUGCAGGAGGGCUUAGUCAAGUUGUGACUGUCAGAUGAAUAUCUUUCGUGCAAACAUUCAGUGUCAUCAGUAUCUGGCUGCCACCCAGAAAUGGAAUCGGCUCAUUCACUUCCCGGUUUCUGCGAGUCAGCUGACAGGUGAGGCUAAGUCAGACCUGGUCACUGCCGAGCCUGCUCAGUCAGCAGCACAAGGCCUCGUCACCUUCCCCUCCUGCGGCUGUCCCGCAGCCCUCCAGCCCUGGGGAACUUAACCUUGUCUCUCAAACAUCCCACACUGCUCGGCAGGGGAUUCUCUCCCCCAGGGCACGAGAGUUCAAGGCCAACCCAAGGGCAGAAGAGCAGAGGGGGAGGGAGAGAGGAGCAAACCACACUCAGCACCAGGAGGAACCUUGGAGGCGAUCCAAAGACUAAAGAAGAGCAGUGUAGAGGCCAGAUUUUUAAUGAAAAGAAGAAGCCAGAUUUUUGAAGAUCUGACUUAUUUCUAAACUCUCUGCUUGUGAUGCUCGGAACAGCAGGAACAAAAUUUGGCAAGCGCCUGGCUCUUUGAUGAAAUCACUAAACAUCAACACCAAUCCCAGAAUCCCCCUGCCUCCGGAGUCCUCAAAAUUACGCUGCAAUAAUUCAGCAGGUUCUGUGCCAGGCCUGGAAUCAGAGUGGAGAACAGUGGUGUUUUAAUGGAGGCAGAGGGACAAGAAUGUGUGAGGGCCCUCGGAAGGAAAGAACACGGCAAGUGGAAGGAAAUGAGAGCAGUCCCUCGAACCCGGAGUGUGAAGACAAAGGGAAGGAAUAGUGUGACGGGGAGACAGGCGGAGGCCCGAUCAUCAGCCUUGAAGGCCGCAGCCAGGAUUGCAGAAGACUGGUGACUUCAGAACCGGUGGCGAGUGUUUGCCAACUAAUACAAUCCCUCCUUCUCUCUCACACCCCUUUGUGGCUUCCAGCCUGUUUUAAAUUUAUUUAAUGAGGUUCAGCGCAGUGCCAAUGAAAAUCCCAACAGGUUUUUCUUGGAGAACGUAACUCGGAGGUUUAAAUGGAAUUGCACGGGUCAAGCAGUAGCCAAAACACUCUUGCAGGAGAACAAGGUGGGGGUUCGUGCCACACCAGAUGCUGACUUACUAUAAAGUUAAUGAAGAGGUUGUGUCGUGUUGGCCAGGACAGAAAACAAGGUAAAUACAAGGGGCAGAAAGGCCAGGAACAGGGCCUGCAAAAAGAAGACUCUUGGGAGAGAAGAGAGGCUGCCAUGGAAGGCAUGGGCUCUCACGGCCGCGGCCCGGGUCUGGAGCUGGAUGAACUGGUCCUUUGACCUCUGGCUCUGACAUACCAGCCACGUCACAUGAAGAAAGUUACUUACUCUGUCUUUCUGGUGUUGUUUUUUUAAAUCUCAAAAUGGGGAUACAAGCAGGAUCUAUUGGUAGGGUGACUAUAAGAGUUAAACACGUUAUCUCAUGCUUGGAAUACUGCUUGGUACCUGGUAAGUGUUGAUGCUGCCAUCACCACACAGGCCGACGUGCCGGGAUAACUGUGUAAUGAUUGGAUAAAAUGAAAUCAAAUCUUCAUUUCUUAAGAUAUAUAAAAACUGAUUCCAGAUAGCCCUGGCCGAGUAGCUCAGUGGGUUAGAGUGUCAUCCCCAUACACCAAGGUUGCGGGUUUGAUU
This is a long non-coding RNA of Myotis brandtii (Brandt's bat), 1787 nucleotides long. RefSeq lists it as uncharacterized. Lineage: Eukaryota; Metazoa; Chordata; Mammalia; Chiroptera; Vespertilionidae. The transcript is spliced from 4 exons. The record is from RefSeq and is a predicted model, not a curated record.